Molecule: long non-coding RNA, 2336 nt
Organism: Oenanthe melanoleuca
Lineage: Eukaryota; Metazoa; Chordata; Aves; Passeriformes; Muscicapidae
Exons: 3
Source: RefSeq, a predicted model, not a curated record
UUUAUUCUUCAUUACACAAUUAAUACAGGCAGAAGAUGAGUAGGGAAAUUCCCAGUCCUUGCACUCUUUACUGUGCUCAGCACCACAGCUUCUGGGGAGUGGAUUUAUUUACUACAGCCAGUUUUAUUCUCAUCCACUCUGUGACCUUUGUGGUUGGGAAAUUAGCAGUUAUUAGAAGCAGCUAAAAUAAUACAAGAUAAAAUAAAACAGCCCCAGCAUCAUUAAGCUGCAAUUAUUAUUGAAAUGCGACCUGAAAGGGAUUCCAUCUGUGUGAAACCCUCUCUCUUUAGACACACAGAUAUAGAUAAUAUUUAAAAAUAAACAGGGAGAGCUCUCUCUCUUCCUCUGGAGGUGUAAUUAUACAGAGACAUCAUCUAUACACAGCCACCCUGGGUGUAAACUCCACCAUGCAGAUACAGUAGGCGGUGUAGGCACGAGAAGAAAGUUAUAAACUCUAUUUAAAACACCAUCAUUAUUCAGAGUGUUUGACACCUCCAGUAUUAAGAGCUACAUUUGCAACAAAAUCAUGUUCUGUUUGCUAAUCACUCAAACACCAGUUUCCUACAGCUUCCCCCUCUCCUCCAAGCAGCUGAGAAACCAAGAGGUAUUUCCUGCUUGUCAAUUAAAAGGCAAAGCAGAACUGGCUGUCCUCAAAAUAACCAGUGCAAAUUCCUCUGAGCAGGGUGCUCUGUGAUGAGUCAGCUCCCCCAGGACACAGAAAGCAGCCAUCAGAGGAGCACUUCAAACCCAAAACAAAACAAAAAGGCAAAACUGACCCUGUCCAGCACCACGGGAAUCAGAGAGGCAGCAGCAGGAGCACAUUUCAUAUUGUCUGCUGAUAAACCCCUUCUUCAAAUUUGGCUGUCCUGUGUGAGGUGAGCACACAUCUCUAUCUAAUGUUCCAGUGGAUGCACUUACAGAAAAGACAGGUUUGAGGCACAAAAAAACCCACAGGCGAGGCAAUUUUUAAGCAUCAUUCCAAAGCUGGAAUCAAUUCCCAUCACAGCAAACAGAGGAGGCUCAGAUUGGACAUCAGGAGGAAUUUAUUCCUGGAAAGGGUUGUCAAGAAGGUGUUGGAAUUCCCAUCCCAUGUCCAAGGAAUGAUGGAGGAAGCACUCAGUGCUCUGCUUUAGCUGAAAAAGCAGUCACAGGUUGGACUUGAUGACCUUGCAGGUAUUUUCCAACCCAAAUGAUUCUGGGGCAAUGGUUCUGUGACACCUGAGGCUUUGGGGCUGUGGUUCCAUCCCACUCUGGGCUGGGAUUAAAGGAGCAGCUGCAUCCCACAGACACCUUGCACACAGCAGCAUCUGGGGAGACAGAUGAAAACUCUCCCUUUGUUUGGGGUGAUGAUCUCUCCCAACACAGAGCAAAAAGUGCCUUUGGCCCAGCCCUAGGAUGUCAGCUCUGGGCUGCAGCAAGGACAGCAUCUGGUUCAGGAGGCACUUGCCUGGGUCUCAGUUUAGGUCCAGCUCCUGGAUCUCAGUUUAGAUCCAGCUCCUGGAUCUCAGUUCCUGGGUCCCAGUUAGGUCCAGCUCCUGGAUCUCAGUUUAGAUCCAGCUCCUAGAUAUCAGUUUAGGUCCAGUUCCUGUAUCUCAGUUUAGGUCCAGCUCCUAGAUCUCAGUUUAGGUCCAGCUCCUGUGUCCAGUUCCUAGAUCUCAGUUUAGGUCCAGCUCCUGUGUCCAGUUCCUAGAUCUCAGUUUAGGUCCAGUUCCUGUGUCCAGUUCCUAGAUCUCAGUUUAGGUCCAGCUCCUAGAUUUCAGUUCCUGGAUCUCAGUUUAGGUCCAGCUCCUGGAUCUCAGUUCCUGGGUCUCAGUUUAGGAGCCCUUGGGCUGGGCAAGCAGAAGCAGCAGAUGAAGGUGAGGAUGGAGCCUGCAAGGUUUGCAAUCAGAGCCACACAAGGGGAUGGCAUGGCAGGGGCAGAGAUUUGACCCAAAAUGCCCGUUCCAGUCCUACAUCUCCACACAAUGGGGCAGAGCUCUGCUCCCUGAGCCUUCAACAAGUCCUGAUGUAGCAGUGUGGGCUCAGAAAAGUCCUAAUAUGGAGCAGGUCACAUUUUGGAGAGGACAUUGAUCUACCUCCUUCCUUGACCUGCUGUGGUUUGAAAUGAAGCCAAGGGAAAAAUCAGGAACUAAUCCAGCAGCUCUGGGAAUGAAGCAGAUGGAGAGUUUUUGUUUUUCAUCACAAAGUCCCAACUGUGCAGAAAUAACUGCAGAGAGGUGACUGGCCAUGACCCUCUGGGGACAGCAGGACUGAAAUCAUGGUGACAAGGGGCUCAGAGACAGAGGGAGAAUGGGACACAAUGAAAAAGAGAGAAAAAAUUCUGGCUGAUGCUGAGA